Molecule: ribosomal RNA, 499 nt
Filed under: Folsomia cf. candida 1F1b1_JC404
Lineage: Eukaryota; Metazoa; Arthropoda; Collembola; Entomobryomorpha; Isotomidae
Description: partial 28S ribosomal RNA
Rfam family: Eukaryotic large subunit ribosomal RNA
Source: RNAcentral
UGUGACCUGUCUUGAAGCACGGCCCAAGGAGUCUAACAUGUAUGCGAGUCAUUGGGAAUGAAAACCCAAAGGCAUAAUGAAAGUAAAGAAUUCGAUUGCGAAUUUGAGGAGAGAUCAUGGCACUUGUUGGUAUGCCGUAAGGUUAUUAUCAACAAGUGUGUGCGCAUCUCCUGGACGUCUAUACCCUUGAGGGUUGGGCGUACCAAGAGCAUACACGUUGGGACCCGAAAGAUGGUGAACUAUGCCUGGUCAGAACGAAGUCAGGGGAAACUCUGAUGGAGGUUCGUAGCGAUUCUGACGUGCAAAUCGAUCGUCGGAACUGGGUAUAGGGGCGAAAGACUAAUCGAACCAUCUAGUAGCUGGUUCCCUCCGAAGUUUCCCUCAGGAUAGCUGGCGCUUGAUUAAAUCAGUCUCAUCCGGUAAAGCGAAUGAUUAGAGGCCUUGGGGCCGAAACGACCUCAACCUAUUCUCAAACUUUAAAUGGGUGAGAAGUCAGGCU